AUAUGUCAGCUAUGCUGAAUGCCUUUGUAAUUUAUCUUUGCACAAUUGACUCAUCGUUUCCUUACCAACCGUAAUUUUUAGUCACAGAAGCUGCAGUGAAUUCGCUCAGGGCCCUUAAGCAUGGUUUGUUCCUAUGGCAAAGAGCCUAACAAAAGAUUGAUAGUAUGGACACGUUCCUGGCAGUAGGCAUGAACAUUAAGUAUGCGUUUGGAGAAGUAUUAGGGAAUAUGAUAAAAAUCAGUGGUUGUAGUAAGGAGAAACUCCCUCAUUUUCUAAUUGUACUAGAGAAUUGCUUUAGUCAGUUCAGAAAUAGCAGCAUCUAUAUGCUUUGUCUUGGUCCUGAGGCAUGGUUGCUGGAAGUUGGCAACAAUGGGCCACCAAAGGAUUUUUACACUCCUUGAAGUCAUAUAACUAGAGAGAUUUGCAUGAAGAAUUUGUAAUUGAAAAGCAUGCGUGCCUACUUUUAGUAGCCUGGAAGUUGAUAGUAAUGUCAUUAACCAUAGGAUAUAAGAUAUUUUAACUGAGAAUAAUAGCUUAAUAUCUAAAAAGAACUUUUGCAUCACUAAAGAAGAAAAAUGUCUUGCUGGGAACAAGUUUAGGAAAUGAAUGUACUUUUUUUUUAUCUUCUUGGGAGAAAAGUAUCCUCUCCAAAAAAAAGAUUAGCCCAGCUCAGAAAAUGCAUUGUUUUGUUUAAAAACCAGCUUGACAUUGUGUUCUAAGUCAGAAGUAGUUACUAAGCCAUAAGUUUUAUGAUAGAUGUAACCUCAUUUAUUGAGAGUGCUAAUCCAGUGAUUUUAAAAACGUGACAGUAAGGGUAAUUAUAACCAAACUAAUUAUUAUAAUGUAAAUAUAUAUUAUAUUUAAUUGUGGUUAUAGAAAUGCAUUUUGAAACUUGAAGGAGGAGUUCAUGUUGUGGCUCAGUGGAAACGAGUCUGACUAGAACCAUGAGGUUGCGGGUUCGAUCCCUGCCCUUGCUCAGUGGGUUAAGGAUCUGGCAUUGCCGUAAGCUGUGGUGUAGGUUGCAGCCGCUGCUCGGAUCCCGCAUUGCUGUGGCUGUGGCAUAGGCCGGCGGCUCCAGCUCCAAUUCGACCUCUAGCCUGGGAACCUCCAUAUGCCAUGGAAAGCAGCCCUAGAAAAGGUACAGUGACAAAAAAAAAAAAAAAA
This 1164-nucleotide long non-coding RNA is filed under the name Sus scrofa (pig). RNAcentral describes it as "lncRNA (ENSSSCG00005000073.1, ENSSSCG00030058049.1, ENSSSCG00050037986.1, ENSSSCG00060003916.1)". Lineage: Eukaryota; Metazoa; Chordata; Mammalia; Artiodactyla; Suidae. The record is from RNAcentral.